UCUUAUCAAGAGUGACGGAGGGAACAGACCCUUUGAAGUCCGGCAACCUGCCUGUGGGUAAGGUGCUAAAUUCUGCGGUGCAACCGAAAGAUGAG
This 95-nucleotide non-coding RNA is filed under the name bovine gut metagenome. Its description in RNAcentral is "SAM riboswitch (S box leader)". It matches the Rfam family "SAM riboswitch aptamer (S box leader)". Rfam says of the family: The SAM riboswitch is found upstream of a number of genes which code for proteins involved in methionine or cysteine biosynthesis in Gram-positive bacteria. The SAM riboswitch acts at the level of transcription termination control. The predicted structure consists of a complex stem-loop region followed by a single stem loop terminator region. The record is from RNAcentral.